Molecule: ribosomal RNA, 449 nt
Filed under: uncultured bacterium
Lineage: Bacteria
Description: bacterial SSU rRNA
Rfam family: Bacterial small subunit ribosomal RNA
Source: RNAcentral
AUACGGGAGGCAGCAGUGGGGAAUUUUGCGCAAUGGGCGAAAGCCUGACGCAGCAACGCCGCGUGGAGGAUGAAGGUCUUCGGAUCGUAAACUCCUGUCAGCGGGGACGAAAGCCCAAAAGGUUUGACUGUACCCGCUGAGGAAGCCACGGCUAACUCCGUGCCAGCAGCCGCGGUAAUACGGAGGUGGCAAGCGUUGUUCGGAAUUACUGGGCGUAAAGGGCGCGUAGGCGGCUUGGCAAGUCAGAUGUGAAAGCCCCGGGCUUAACUCGGGAAUUGCAUCUGAAACUGCUUUGCUUGAGUCCUGGAGGGGGUAGUGGAAUUCCCAGUGUAGCGGUGAAAUGCGUAGAUAUUGGGAGGAACACCUGCGGCGAAGGCGGCUACCUGGACAGUGACUGACGCUGAGGCGCGAAAGCUAGGGGAGCGAACGGGAUUAGAUACCCCGGUAGC